GACGAACUGCCCAAACGUUGUUCGGAAUCACUGGGCUUAAAGGGCGCGUAGGCGGCGAAUCAAGUCAGGGGUGAAAGCCGGCAGCUUAACUGUCGAAGUGCCUUUGAUACUGAUUCGCUCGAGGGAGAUAGGGGUCUGCGGAACUUCUGGUGGAGCGGUGAAAUGCGUUGAUAUCAGAAGGAACGCCGGUGGCGAAAGCGGCGGACUGGAUCUCUUCUGACGCUGAGGCGCGAAAGCUAGGGGAGCAAACGGG
RNAcentral lists this ribosomal RNA (253 nucleotides) under uncultured bacterium. RNAcentral's name for it is "partial 16S ribosomal RNA". It matches the Rfam family "Bacterial small subunit ribosomal RNA", at positions 524 to 776 of the family's 1533-position model. The record is from RNAcentral.